AAAAGGACAAACCCUAGGUUUUCUUGUCCAACGUUUGACUGCCCGUCUUAUAUGAAAUUUUUUUUAUAAUUAGUAUUUUCAUUGUUGUUAGAUGAUAAAAAUACUGCCCGUCUUUUUAAUUUUUUUCAUAAUUUUUUUAAAUAAAACGGACGGUCAAACGUUGGACACAGAAACCCAGGGUUUGUCUUUUU
Non-coding RNA from Oryza glumipatula, 191 nucleotides. NCBI's taxonomy places the organism in Eukaryota, Viridiplantae, Streptophyta, Magnoliopsida, Poales, Poaceae. The record is from Rfam.